UGAAAUGACAGCCCCGUUGAAAAAAACAGCAUAUGCUGGUUAGGUAUGUUUUGAAGCAUGGUAGCUGGUUUAAGCUGAGAACCAGCCGGUUGCAUAAAGCACCUUAAGUGUAAUUUUGCCUUAAGUGUGUCCUUAAGUAUACCUUAAGUUUUACUAAAGUUAUUCUCCUAUUGUCUUCGGUAAAGGGAAAUCACCUCUAAAGUGUCAUACUUAAGGGAAAAAAUUAAGCUGCUUUAUGCAACCGGGCCCCGCACAUGACCAGCUCAAACCAGCUACCAUGCUUCAAAACAUACCUAACUACAGUAGCAUAAGGCUGUUUUUUUCAACAGGGAGAGAAAGCACAUGGCAGUAAACAUGACAAAAGUUGCAAUAGUCUAGCCAACAAAAACAUGAUUAAUGAUAAUCAUUAAUAAAUUCAUUUUUUCUCAUAUCAUGAAUGGCUAUGGCCUAACCACUACAGUCCAUACAUUAAACCUGGUUAGCUCAGAGAGAAAAACCUUAAAGACAGGAGAAUGGACUGAUUUAAAACUGCAGUUAAAGAAACAUAUGAAAACAAACGUAAUCAGAAUAGAACUUUGGAGAAUGUGGCCAGAGGCUUAACAGAUUUGUUCAAAUUCAAGAGGAUCAUUCUAGGACAAUACAUCGAGCUGUAAGUUACCAUAAUGUUAAUACAUUUAGUAAUGAUCUUUUCAUAUAGGCCUGCAGUAUGUCAUAAGCAUCUUGUUUGCUCUUUUGCUAUUUUGUAAAAGUAGUGGCUGCAUUUUUGUUGAUUGUCGUCAGCCCUAAUUUUGUUUCAUGUAAUGGCACUGAAACAUUUUAUAUUUGUGUGCCUGUUUUUUAGAAACCACUUCCAAGCACCAAACGUGUGUAUUCAUUAAACUUGUACCAUACAUUAGUUAAUUUUAUUCAUAUACUGCAAUGAAAACAUCUGACCAAUUAAAUAUAUAGCAACAUUCAAAUAAAACUAAACACGUUUAUUUUCUUUUAAAAACAACCUAUCUUAACUAUAGCUGUUGUUACUACACUUGCUAUUGGUAAACAGAUGUCAUUGGUUGACUCCCCGUGCUGCUUUGAGCACGAUUGGGUAAACUUACUGUCAUUCAGGAAACUAGCCAAUUAGAGCUGUUCGCGCCCUUCACUGGUUCAUUUUGAACAUACGCGAGGAAUUGAUGUCUGUCAGUUAGUUUCAGUAGUAUUGAUGGUCCAGUUAUAUGUAAACAGCGCUGAAGACACGAAGUCGUGUGGAAGUUGCAGGCUGCUGGAGAAUAAUCACACGCAUUAACAGCUUUACCAGCAGAAGUACACAGAAAUAUAUGAUAAGAUUUGCCUGGGCAGUACACACACCUGAUGAAGGGAAGAAAAGCUACCCAGGCACCCAAACUCCAUCGGUAGUAAGUGUUUAAACAUUCGACCUGAGUAUUUGUAUUAUGUUGUUAUUAACAAUUGUGUAAUAUUAUGUAUGCUUAAUACUGUUAUAAUGUAACUCUGUAACCGUUUGGGUUACGUAUUUCUUGGGUUAAAACAUAACAAAAUAAGGGACUUUUUAUUUUCUAACUCUUACAAUAACAAUCACGUACAGUUAAACAUUUACAUCAUUUGUGAAAGAAAAAUUGUCCAUUCCUUUAAACUGGUGACUUGUUUUGCUGAUUUAAUGAUGGAAGUUAUAAGACUUACAUUUAAGUUAGCAUUGUAACUUGUUUUCUAACAGUAUACUCUGUAUUCACAUUGCCGUAAUGUAUAAUGAUGGCAGAUUCAGUCCUUUAUCUAACGUUACUACAUUGCAUAUUUGCCACAGACUCAUUUACUUUUUUGUGGUAUGUUUUUACUUAUGGUAUGAUUUACUUAUUCUGACAGUUUGAUGUUUGUCCAAAUAUACUAUCAAAACUUCCUCCGAUACCUUUUUGUGACCCUGUGUAAAUGUUUUCAACACCACUUGAAACUGUUGUAUUUCUCCAGGAUUAAAAGUUUGUUUUAUAAGAAUUUGAUGAAUGUAUUGUAUGGGGAUGUACUUUUUAUUUAUUUAUUAUAUUCAACCAUUUGUUUAAAGCAUAUACUGUAAUUCUGUACUGUAAAGAAGUCAAUCAUUGUGUAUUUCGAGUGUACAUUUACAAAUUAUGGUGAUUGUGUUCAUAUGAUUAAUAUGUUUACCUAAAUAAAAUGUUAUUCUACAAUGCUAAACAUGUGUUUUUCAUUUUAUUGACAGUAUCUGACUAGUAAUUCAUGGCCAAUAUCUGUAAAGUUACAGAGCAUUUACUGUAUUAAAAGUAUUUGACUGAAAAAAUUCAGGAAAGAAACUGUAAAAUAACAGUGUUUUUCUGCAGAACAUUAGUACUUUCACAUAGUUUAAAGAGGUUUAUCAUUAUAAUUCAGAAAAAAAAGCAUAAAAUAACAGUAUUUUUCUGUAAAACCUUAUGUGCAGUCACUUUAUUGAAGGUGUUUGAUCGUAAUAAUUAAGGAAAAGUCUGUGAAAUAACUGUGUUUCCCUGUAAAACAUUUAAAGAAAAAUUACGUAAAUGUAAUGUUUUUCUCCAUUAUUUGAUUUACGGAGUUUCAUCUUAAUUUUAUGGUUUUUGUUUGGCAGCCGCUGCUGCCAGUGAUUUGACCGUUUUUUUACGAUAUUUUUUUUUACAGUGCAUGAGCAGACAUCAGACAGAGAACAUGAAACAUUAACGACUGACAAAAGACAACUGGAACAUAAGGACUAUUUAUACACAGGGGAAAAAGAGCUAACAAGAAACACCUGUGGCCUGCAUCACGAAGCCGGUUUUGGUUUUUACCCAGGUACGUUCGCGUUUAGUUUGAGCACACUCUGAGUUUUCGGGCUCAAGAAGGUGGAUUGGUUUUGAGUGGGUUUCGUCGACAUGGUAACUCAGGCUACAAGGCUAACCUGCUCCGGAGCAGGUUUUAUUCUGGGUUAGAGAUGCAGUGAAGCCACUCCCCAUGUGUUUCUCGCUCCAAAUUAAAAAAAGAUUAAAGUGAUAAGAGUAAGAUGUAAGAGGGAAAAUAUUUUUCUGCUAAGUGUUUAUUUGUAUUGUAUAUUUACAUUUAUUGAUUGGUUUGUCUGGUUUUGUCAACUCAAAACUUAAUCUGCAACUCAGUAUUUGUUGACCUCGCUUUGUGAUACAGGCCACUGGCAAGAAUGAACAUGGAACCAAUAGACGACAGCACUACAAAUGACUACAAAAUAAAACAGGAAACAUUAAGUAAUGUAAAAGUCCACAAUAACAAGGGGAACACAGACCAGGGGCCCGUUUCAGAAAGGAGGUUUAGUGAAAACUGAGUAUUUUGUGUCAGGAUUUGCACGGGAAGAACCCAAUUGCAGGCAGGCAGUGAAGGGGUUAACACAACAAGACUUUAUUAAUUAAUAAAACACAAAACAAACACCCUCGAUGGGGAAAAACAGAACUGAGAGAUUAAUACACAACAAAAGACUUCCCACGAGGGGGCAAAACGAAAGCAAGAACAGUAAAAACUCAACUAAAGGACACGACAAAACGUCUUAAAUCUACACAUGACAAGGGUAAAACACAAAAUUCACAGAACACGGGCACGGCUAGGGACAGGAACACUCGACAAGCAAAACACAGUACAUCCAGGGUACACAUACAUAGUACAAUAAACGAGCACAAGACAAAGAAACAUGAGGGCAUUUAUAGGUAAGACAAACGAAGGAUAACGAGCGAGGGCAGGUGGGAAACAUUAGACAUGGAAGGGAAGCAAUACAUGAAACGAGAGGGGCGGGGCCAAUGACGAGACACGAGAAAACACAUGAGAAGUAAAAACAAACAACUCAUGGCUUUCUCACAUAAAACCUAAGGGCUCUGUCCCGAUCCUGCCACAUGACUAGAAAUUCAUAAACAAGAAGGUAGGACCGUGACAAUUUUGACCCUGAAAUGAGGGAAACUCUGGGUUUUCCAUUUCAGAAUGUGAGGUAUGUCAAACCAGAGAAAGCGGGGUAACUCAAGCCCGUUUCUAAAGGAGAGGUAAUUUAUACUCAGAGUCAGUAACCAUAGUAACUUUCUGUGUGAACCUAACCUGGUCUGGAGAAGGUUUUCUUUGGUAAACCCAGAGUUUAUUUCGAUCUCCUCCCCCUUUUAAAGCGCAAGUGGUGUAACUCAUUCAUGGCACACAUUUUGAUCACACAGAGACCAUCUCAGUGACUUAUAUGUCAUAUGUGCUUUUAUAGAGGAUUCAUGAAGAGGCUGCAUUAAUUCAUUUAGAUGUACUUUGAUUUCAGGAGAGCAAUUUAGGACCCGAGUGGAAUUUUGUCAUUUCCCUGUGCAUUUUUAUUCAAACUGUACCGUUUUUCUUUACAGUGAAUUAGAUAUAUCAAAAUAUUUCUCAUCCAUCCUUACAUCAAUAACAUCAGCCACCGUACGUGUAUUACAUCAGAGCAUAAUUUUCUAUGGACGAUGAGAAAUAACUUAAUAAAGUGUAUAAAUAAAGUGCAUAAAUAAAUAAAUUAAUAAAUACAGACAUACAUGCAGAAAUGAAGCGAUAAAGGUAAUAAACAAGUAAUUCAGACGUGCAGCCAUUCCAACUGAAAUCUGCUCAGAGCAGGGUUCGAAUCAGUCUAACUUUGCACGAGAGUCUGACACCCUACAGGUGUCCUAUACACCAUGACGUCUCGUUUAUGUAACUAGGGCACUCAUGGCGAGUGAGAACAUACGAUUUAUUUAUUAUUUCUGUCUUAUUUCUGUUAUUUCAUUCAUUUCAUAAUUAAUUUAUUUGUUUAUUGGUACAUUUCUCUAUUUAUUAUUUUAAACUUCAGUCAUUUUCAGCACAUCAGUAAAUCCACAGUAUGCAGAGCGGAAAGCGCUUUCUGCCACCAUCUUGCUUUUUUUGGUGCCGUUGCCAUGGUGAAUGUAAUAUCGGAGCUCCAUUGAUGAUGGCUUUUUAUAGUCGUGGUGCACGCGCUUAACCCAGGGUAAGCCUACCCAGAGUAAAUUGAACUAACUCAAAUCAGCUGUUCUGAAACCAAAAACUCAAAGUUUCUAAUUUCUAUGUAAACCAACUCUGAGUUCAAGGUUUAACCUAGAGUUGGUUGAACCGCCUUAUCGAAACAGGCCCCUUAGUUCAAGUUACAUAAAGUAUAGAUUUAUUGAGAUGUUUGUAACUGUUAUUUUAACGUGUCUACCAUGGUAUUUUACCAAAAUUGUGUUGUGUAUAUGUAUUUGAUCACAUGGCUAAUUUUGAAGGCAGUAUAAAACCUCUUUUUUGUUCCUUCUCUGUAUGUUCCUUAAAAAAUCUACCUUUAUUUGGUUUUCUGAAGGUGACUUUGCAUUGUAUCAGCUUUAUUUGUAAUAAUUGCUGAUGUAGUCAUAUUAAUGGAGACUCUUUUAAUUCUAGAAACUACUACAUUGGUCAUAAUUUUGGAAAAAAAUGUGUAAUGCUUAUCAGUACACUACACUGUGUAUGAUAAUUAAUUUGCAGCAGAGGAUGAAGGUCUGCUGUGACAGAGGUAGAGGUUUAAAAUAUUAGGCCCAGUCACAUGUCCAAUAUAUCAUGUAGCCUAUAUAUAUCCCUUUCAAAUUUUGUUUUUCUCUUUGUUUCUUUUGACUUUGUUUGCUAAAAGGCCUUGGCUUUCCAAAUGUUAAAAGAGGUGGAAACGGCCUAUCCUAAAAGGUUAAUUGUAAUUUGGAGAAAGGCCUUUCAAUACUAAACUGUAGGAGGAGGCUGAGGAUCAGAAAGACAUUUUUAAGGAAUACAGUGAGUAUGAAAAACCUUAAGUCUAAGUUUUUUUAAUGUAUUUUUUAAUGUAAAUGGAUAUAAAAUUAUAAUAAGAAUUUAAAUAUUUGAAGAGUAUGCCAUAGGUGAUCCCAUUGGGGGUCACCUAAUAAAGCCUUGGAAUCGAACUUGCAACUUUUGAGUUUUAAAUCUGGCUCUCUAACCACUAGGCCACAACUUUCUUUGACCCAAUGCAUCAAAUAUUGCCUAAUAAGUGGACAAGAGUAAUGAUAUGCAAUUGCCCUGGAGUUAAAAUACAUCACUAUUAACACCCUUUAACUGUUGGAAAUUGUAAGGUCUGUAUAUUUAUCCAGUGAUAUUUGAGAUGUUUUAAUAAACCUAAUUCAAAGUAUAUACAGUAUUUAAUAUAAAUACAUAAAGUUUAACAAUAACAUCUUAUAUUAUUUUAUUUAAAGAUUAAUUCAUUUUAAAAGGUUAAAUAAUAAAGUUAAUAAUAAAAUUAGCUGUGAAUGCUAAAUUGUGACGGGUGAGAUUGGAAAUGUAAUUGUAAUAUAGCUGUAAAAUUAUAAUAUAUAUACGUAAUCUGUGCUUUCACGCCCACUUGACGCUCAUCAAAAACGCACAGACAACCCCUAAAGCUUAGUAACAUUUUCUUAAAAUGAACUUACCCAGGAACACAACCUGCUCCAGAGUAGGUUAUCUUCAGAGAGUAAGUUGCUAUGGUUACUUACCCUGAAAGUUACCUCUGUUUUUGGAACCAGCCUUGGAAAAUCAGCUAACUAACACUUAAACUUACCCGGGUAUGUCACAUAACCAGCUUUCUGGAAUACCCCCUGGAUCAUGACACUGUUGUUAUUGCCUAUGUGUUUUUAGUUUUUAGUAUGCGUGUAUGUCAUCAGUUUAUGUAAUCUGUAUUUGUUGUCCACCCUGUCCUCCAUUUAUGUUGUUUGUAUAUGUCUCACUGUUGUUGUGUCUGUUGUGUUGUGUGUUUGUCUCUUGUGAAUAUUGCCUUACUUAGACAAAUCGCCCUCAACUGUAAAUUGCUUAGGAUAAAAAAUUCUGCUAAAUGAAUAAACGUGAAUGUGUCUUGUCUAUGUCAUUCUGUAGCAAGUUUAGUUCAGUUUAUGCUUUGUAAGAUUUUCAGAUAUCAGUGAAAAAUUUGCAACAGAUUGUACAGAUGUCCUUGGAAACACAAAUUAAACAUUUACACAUUUUACUUAUGAAAGUUAUUUUUUUCAUGAAUCUGUAUUAGGUCAUGGCCUAAUGGUUAGAGCAGGGGUCCCCAAACUUGUUCCUGGAGGGCCGGUGUCCUGCAGAGUUUAGCUCCAACCUGCCUCAACACACCUGCCUGCAAGUUUCUGUUGUGCCUAUGAGACCUUGAUUAGCUGCUUCAGGUGUGUGAUUAGGGUUAAAGCUAAACUUGCAGGACACCGGCCCUCCAGACCCGAACCUGGGGACCCCUGGGUUAGAGAGUCGGACUCGUGACCAGAAGGUUGCCGGUUCGAUUCCCAGGGCCGGCGGGUAACGACUGAGGUGCCCUUGAGCAAGGCACCUUACCCCUACUUGCUCCCCGGGCAGCUGCAGAUAGCUGCCCACUGCUCCGGGUGUACGUGUGUUCACGACUUGCUGUGUGUGUGUUCACUACUUGCUGUGUGUGUGUGUGUGUGUGUGUGUGUGUGUGUUCACUACUCUCUGGAUGGGUUAAAAGCAGAGGUCACAUUUCGGGUAUGGGUCACCAUAUCUGACUAAUAGGUCACUUUCACUUCACUUCAUAUUCAGAGGUUAAGUAAUAUACAGACAACAUAAUCGGAUGACAGUGAGGACGACAUAUACAGAUGACGUGAAUGAACAUCAGGGAGGAUGACAUAUACAGAUUACAUAAGCGGACGACAGGAAGGAUGACAUAAACUGACCACAGGGAGGACAACAUAUAACAGGAAACACAGUUGACACAAUUUUGGCACAAGUGGAACCACAUAGUGUUUUGGUGUCAAACACACUUAAAGCUUCAUGUGCUUGUCAUCUCCUAUUGAGGAUAAAUUUAAGUCUGCUCUUAAAAAAGAAACAGUCGUAUAAGGAUGGCUAGAAUGCUUGUUCUGAAACCGUUUUGUGCAUGUCAAAAGUAUGGUUUGAAGUUUGUUACAUAUAAAUGCACAUAUCAAUCCAGUCACUGUUAGUGUUCAUGUAAACACUAUGUUCAGAUUCCUUAAUGUGGAAGAAUUCUUUCCAAUUUACACAAAAUAUGUCCAUGUAACAACUAUUGGGAAUAAAAUUGUAUUCCGAUUAAGAUGUUUACAUGAAGCAUUUACUUCCAAUAUCCUAUUUAUCUAACAAUAUGGGUAAAUAGGA
Triplophysa rosa is the source of this 8037-nucleotide long non-coding RNA. RefSeq lists it as uncharacterized. NCBI's taxonomy places the organism in Eukaryota, Metazoa, Chordata, Actinopteri, Cypriniformes, Nemacheilidae. The record is from RefSeq and is a predicted model, not a curated record. The transcript has 3 exons.